Molecule: ribosomal RNA, 803 nt
Rfam family: Bacterial small subunit ribosomal RNA
AAUGGAGCAGGCAUUAGGCACAACACUAGUUAGCCCACAACGCCUUGUUUAGCCACACCCCCAAGGGUACUCAGCAGUAAUAGAUAUUAAGCAAUAAGUGUAAACUUGACUUAAUCAAAACCAAGAGGGCCGGUAAAACUCGUGCCAGCUACCGCGGUUAUACGAAUGGGCCCAAGUCGAAAAGCAUCGGCGUAAAAUGUGGAAUAUAAAACACUAUACUAAAGCCAAACUACUUCAAAGCCGUAAUACGCAUUCGAAAAAAAGAGGCUCUUCCACGAAAGUGGCUUUAAAUAUUUAGACCACGAAAGCUGGGAAACAAACUGGGAUUAGAUACCCCACUAUGCCCAGCCCUAAACAUAAGUGACUUCACACACCACUCACUUGCCUGGGGAUUACGAGCACUAGCUUAAAACCCAAAGGACUUGGCGGUGCUUCAGACCCACCUAGAGGAGCCUGUUCUAGAACCGAUAAUCCCCGUUUAACCUCACCCUCUCUUGUUAUUUCCGCCUAUAUACCGCCGUCGUCAGCUUACCCUGUGAAGGUCCAACAGUGGGCACAAUUGGCACAGCCCAAAAUGCCAGGUCGAGGUGUAGCGUAUGGGAGGGGAAGAAAUGGGCUACAUUCACUGCACCAGUGUAAACGAAAAAUAUCUUUGAAACAAGUAUUUAAAGGAGGAUUUAGCAGUAAGAAGGGAGUAGAGUGCCCCCCUGAAGCCUGGCUCUGAAGCGCGUACACACCGCCCGUCACUCUCUCCUUUGCUUUUGGGCAAAUACUAACUAAAUAAAAUCCUUGUGCAUACGGGA